AGGGAUCAUUACAGAGUUCCUGCCCUCACGGGUAGAUCUCCCACCCUUGUGUAUUUUUAUGAUGUCGUUGCUUUGGCAGGCCGCUGGGCUUCUUCGGCCUGGCCACCGGCUCCCUGGGGCUGGCGCGCGCCUGCCAGAGGAUCUCUCAAACUCGGUUUGUUAGUGUCGUCUGAGUACUAUAACAAUCGUUAAAACUUUCAACAACGGAUCUCUUGGUUCUGGCAUCGAUGAAGAACGCAGCGAAAUGCGAUAAGUAAUGUGAAUUGCAGAAUUCAGUGAAUCAUCGAAUCUUUGAACGCACAUUGCGCCCCUUGGUAUUCCGAGGGGCAUGCCUGUUCGAGCGUCAUUUCAACCCCUCAAGCUCUGCUUGGUGUUGGGCAUUCGCCGCUUUCCCGCGGCGGGCCUUAAAAUCAGUGGCGGUGGCCGUCUUAGGCUCUAAGCGUAGUAGUAACCUCUCGCUCUGGAGACCCGGCGGUGACUUGCCAGACAACCUUUUUUACUUUUUUUCAAAGGUUUGACCUCGGAUCAGGUAGGGAUACCCGCUGACUUAAA
Molecule: ribosomal RNA, 552 nt
Filed under: Scytalidium cuboideum
Lineage: Eukaryota; Fungi; Ascomycota; Leotiomycetes
Description: eukaryotic LSU rRNA
Rfam family: 5.8S ribosomal RNA (bases 193-346)
Source: RNAcentral